AUUUGGGGGCUGGGAGGGGUCAGGAAUUUUGGGGGGGAGUCGCAGGGGGGUCAGGAAUUUGGGGAGGGGUCUGGAGGGGUCACAGGAGGGGUCUGGGGGGUCCCUUGCCUCUGUCUCCUUGCGCCGGGGAGGAGGAGGAAGGAGAGGGGGAGCAGGAAUUUGGGGGUUGGGGGGUCAGGGUUUUUUUGGGGGUUGUGAGGGAUUUUGGGGGGGUGUGAGGGAUUUUGGGGGGUGAGGAAUUUGGGGUUCAGCGCUCACGUCCUGCAUGAACUUGCGGCAGACGGGGCGGAUCUCCUUGCUGAGCGUGGCGCUGAACAUCAUCACCUGCUUCUCGUGCGGCGUCAUGCGGAAAAUCUCCUGCACGUCCCGCCGCAUGUCUGCGGGGCAGCGUCAGCACCAAAAAACACCCCAAAAUGCCCCAAAACGGCCCCAAAACCAGCCCCGAAUCUCCUGCACGUCCCGCCGCAUGUCUGCGGGGCAGCGUCAGCACCAAAAACACCCCAAAAUGCCCCAAAAUGGCCCCAAAUCUCCUGCACGUCCCGCCGCAUGUCUGCGGGGCAGCGUCAGCACCAAAAACACCCCAAAAUGCCCCAAAAUGGCCCCAAAUCUCCUGCACGUCCCGCCGCAUGUCUGCGGGGCAGCGUCAGCACCAAAAACACCCCAAAAUGCCCCAAAAUGGCCCCAAAACCAGCCCCAAAUCUCCUGCACGUCCCGCCGCAUGUCUGCGGGGCAGCGUCAGCACCAAAAAAACAGCCCAAAAUGCCCCAAAAUGGCCCCAAAACCAGCCCCAAAACCCCACAUCUCCUGCACGUCCCGCCGCAUGUCUGCGGGGCAGCGUCAGCAGCGCCCAAAAUGCCCCAAAAUGGCCCCAAAAUGCCCCAAAACCAGCCCCCAAACCCCACAUCUCCUGCAUGUCCCGCCGCAUGUCUGCGGGGCAGCGUCAGCACCAAAAACACCCCAAAAUGCCCCAAAAUGGCCCCAAAACCCCACGUCUCCUGCACGUCCCGCCGCAUGUCUGCGGGGCAGCGUCAGCAGCGCCCGAAAACGGCCCAAAAGGACCCAAAACGGCCCCAAAACCCACAAAAGGACACCCAAAAUGCCCCGAAACAACCCCAAAAUGCCCUCCUA
RNAcentral lists this long non-coding RNA (1128 nucleotides) under Anas platyrhynchos platyrhynchos (common mallard). RNAcentral describes it as "lncRNA (ENSAPLG00000023483.1)". Lineage: Eukaryota; Metazoa; Chordata; Aves; Anseriformes; Anatidae. The record is from RNAcentral.